This 512-nucleotide ribosomal RNA is filed under the name uncultured bacterium. Its description in RNAcentral is "partial 16S ribosomal RNA". It matches the Rfam family "Bacterial small subunit ribosomal RNA", at positions 28 to 507 of the family's 1533-position model. The record is from RNAcentral.
GACGAACGCUGGCGGCGUGCCUAAUACAUGCAAGUCAAACGAAACUUCUUUAUCACCGAGUGCUUGCACUCACCGAUAAAGAGUUGAGUGGCGAACGGGUGAGUAACACGUGGGCAGCCUGCCCAAAAGAGGGGGAUAACACUUGGAAACAGGUGCUAAUACCGCAUAACCAUAGUUACCGCAUGGUAACUAUGUAAAAGGUGGCUAUACUACCGCUUUUGGAUGGGCCCGCGGCGCAUUAGCUAGUUGGUAGGGUAAAGGCUUACCAAGGCAAUGAUGCGUAGCCGAAUUGAGAGGUUGAUCGGCCACAUUGGGACUGAGACACGGCCCAAACUCCUACGGGAGGCAGCAGUAGGGAAUCUUCCACAAUGGGCGAAAGCCUGAUGGAGCAACGCCGCGUGGGUGAAGAAGGUCUUCGGAUCGUAAAACCCUGUUGUUAGAGAAGAAAGUGCGUGAGAGUAACUGUUUACGUUUCGACGGUAUCUAACCAGAAAGCCACGGCUAACUACGUG